AUCGAACGCUGGCGGCAGGCUUAACACAUGCAAGUCGAGCGAGCGGCGGACGGGUGAGUAAUGUCUGGGAAACUGCCUGAUGGAGGGGGAUAACUACUGGAAACGGUAGCUAAAACCGCAUACCAUCGGAUGUGCCCAGAUGGGAUUAGCUAGUAGGUGGGGUAAAGGCUCACCUAGGCAACGAUCCCGAGCUGGUCUGAGAGGCUGACCGCACACACUGGACCGAAGCCACGGUCCGAGUGCCAACGGGAGGCAGCAGGGGGGAAUAUUGCGCAAUGGGCGCAGGCCGGAUGCAGCCAUGCCGCGUGUGUGAAAAAGGCCUUCGGGUUGUAAAGCACUUUCAGCGAGGAGGCGUUACUCGCAGAAGAAGCACCGGCUAACUCCGUGCCAGCAGCCGCGGUAAUUC
This 406-nucleotide ribosomal RNA is filed under the name uncultured bacterium. RNAcentral's name for it is "partial 16S ribosomal RNA". It matches the Rfam family "Bacterial small subunit ribosomal RNA", at positions 29 to 526 of the family's 1533-position model. The record is from RNAcentral.